CUCUCAGACGGCCAAAGGUUUCAGGUGAGAGCCAUCUGUAAUUCAGAAGUUUUCAAGGACAAUCCUGGGGCAACAAAUAGUGUUAAACAUGACAUUGUUGUUAGAGAAGGUGCUCUUGUGAGAAUAUUACGUUACAGGCUCCCCGAGGGCCUGUCGGCCUCACUGAGGAGGGAGGUUGACCUGAUGCUGUCCCUGGGGAUCAUCGAGUGGUGUAACCUAAUGAUGCUCCUACCAAAGAAGGAUGGAAGCAUAAGGAUCUGCAUUGCUUUCAGGUACCUGAAAUACAUUUCUUCAUUUGAUUCCUAUCCAACACCAAGAAUUGAUGAACUGCUUGAAAGGCUAGGAAAGCCUUCAGGACACCAUGGGGCCCUUUCCAGUUCAUAGUAAUGCCAUUUGGGUUGCACGGCGCUCCAGCAACUUUCCGGAGACUCAUGGACCAGGGCAGCUCUACUCACAGACUUGACUAGAUCCCGGAGGCCCAAUCAGAUCCAGUGGACAGAGGAGGCAGUGGCAGCUUUCAGUGAUAUCCAGCAAUCACAAACGGUUUGGGAGCUGUGUUACUCCAGGGACCUCUGAAUGAUCGGCAUCCAGUCGCCUACAUCAGCUGGAAACUGUUCCCCAGAGAGGUUCGGUAUUCGGCGGUGGAGAAGGAGGCACUGGCUAUUAAGUGGGCCCUUGAUUCCUUCCGAUACUAACAUCUUGGUUGAGAGUUCACCUUGGAGACAGAUCACAAGGCCUGUUUGGCUUUGGUAGAGAAACCAUCCAGUGGUGACGAGCAAACGUACCACUAGCUCCUCACACCGAAAUACGAGGGUUCUGAAGGAGUGAGCAUGGUGGUGGAAAAUCUCCUGUAUGUUGACAGUGAGGUAAGUUCUGUGCUCUUAAUUGAAGCUGUG
Labrus mixtus (cuckoo wrasse) is the source of this 896-nucleotide long non-coding RNA. RefSeq lists it as uncharacterized. The record is from RefSeq and is a predicted model, not a curated record. The transcript has 5 exons. Lineage: Eukaryota; Metazoa; Chordata; Actinopteri; Labriformes; Labridae.